CAAUAGAUAAUAAAUAAUUAUGUUUAAAAAAAUUCAUUAAAAGUUUAUUUUAUAUAUAAAUUAUAGUGUUAAAUUAUUAUUAUUUUAAUAAUAAUAAUGAUAUUAUUAUAGUAAAUAAAAUUAAAAAUUUAAGAAAUUAAGAUUUAGUAAUACAAAAAUUAAUAACAAAUUUUGUGCCAGCAGUUGCGGUUACACAAAAAUUAAAUUGAAUUGUUUCAGUUUAUAAAUAAUAAAUUAAAAUUAAAAUAAAUAUUAAAUUAUUAGGUAAAAUUUUAAUUUAAUUAAAUUUUAUAGUUAAAUUUAUGUUUUAAUAAAUUUAAGAUUAAACUAGGAUUAGAUACCCUAUUAUUAAAAAUUUAAAUUAUAAUACUAAAAUAGUAAAUAAUUGUUUAUUGAAACUUAAAUAAUAUGGCGGUAUUUUAGUUCAUUUAGAGGAAUCUGUUUAAUAAUUGAUAAUCCACGAUUAAAUUUACUUAAUUAAUAAUUUUAUAUAUCGUUGUUAAAAAAAUAUUUUUAAUUAAAAAUAAUAUUUAAAAAUUUAGAUAGAAAAUUAAUUCAGAUCAAGAUGUAGAUUAUAAUUAAGAAUAUAAUGGAUUACAAUAAAAUUAUUUAAAUGAAUAUAUUAUUGUAAAAUAAUAUUGAAGGUGGAUUUAAAUGUAAUUUUAUUUAAUAAAAUAAAAUGAUUUAAAAUUAAAAUAUGUACAUAUUGCCCGUCACUUUCAUUUAAAAAUUGGAAUAAGUCGUAACAAAGUAGAGGUACUGGAAAGUGUUUCUAGAAAGAA
This 782-nucleotide non-coding RNA is filed under the name Parantica melaneus. Lineage: Eukaryota; Metazoa; Arthropoda; Insecta; Lepidoptera; Nymphalidae. The record is from RNAcentral.